UCUAAUGUUGUGCUCUCCGUCUACUGCCUCUCGGCCAUUGUCCUCAUCCGCGAGUCCGACGUUUCUUUCAAGAUCACGGCGGUUUACGGCCCUUCAAAUUCUUCAUGCAAAAAGGCCUUCUUUGCGGAGCUCCUAACUCAAAAGCCACCUCGUGGGAUCAAAUGGCUUGCCCUGGGUGACUUCAACCAAAUUCACCGUGCUCGCGACAAGAAUAACCGAAAUUUCAAUCGUGGCCGUAUCAACCGCUUCCGUAACACCCUCCACGCGUGCGAGCUCAAUGAGAUUCACCUGCAGAACCGCCGGUUCACUUGGAGCAACGAGCGAAACAAC
This 330-nucleotide ribosomal RNA is filed under the name Triticum aestivum (bread wheat). RNAcentral's name for it is "partial small subunit ribosomal RNA". The record is from RNAcentral. Lineage: Eukaryota; Viridiplantae; Streptophyta; Magnoliopsida; Poales; Poaceae.